CAAUAAAAGUGAGGAAGUACCUAUUUUGUCCAGUCGACAUAGGCUUUAUAGGACCACACACAUCUGUGUGUACUAACUCAAGUGGCUUGUUUGCUUUCCAGUUGACUUCUUUGG
Populus euphratica (Euphrates poplar) is the source of this 114-nucleotide long non-coding RNA. RefSeq lists it as uncharacterized. The record is from RefSeq and is a predicted model, not a curated record. The transcript is spliced from 2 exons. NCBI's taxonomy places the organism in Eukaryota, Viridiplantae, Streptophyta, Magnoliopsida, Malpighiales, Salicaceae.